ACAAUUCAUCGACAGAAAAUCGUCCUAAAAAAUCUACGACGGUUAACCUACGAAAAUAACCUACGCCCCGACCGCCGCCCGCGGGUCGCCCGCUCCCUCGCGCCCCCGUUGCUCCAUCCUCGAUCCCGAUCUGGAUCGAGGGGAUGAGGAGCUCCUGCCUCCCCGACGGCCGGCCUCCUCCUCGCCUCGCCGCUGUGUCCGGCGCCGCCAUGGCCUCUGGAGCCAGGGAAGCUCGUCCUCGAGGUCCCCGCCACCGUCUCCUGCAACGUCUGCCCUGCCGCCUCACCAGAUCCUUCGCCCUCGCAGCCGCCGCCGAUCCCCUCCCUCAAACGCCGCCGCCCGUCGCUGCAGCCCCCGCCACCUCCCGUCGCAAGCUUCUGUGCUGCCACACGAUCACAUCUGUCCUCCCUUGCGCUCCGAUCCGCACGAGAUCACCGAUUCUGCCUCCUGAUGCCACGCCGCUCCCCAGCGACGAGGCUGCUCCCAUUGUUCCCAUCGACGCUUCAUGAUCCACGGCCUCCCCCAUCCUCUUCUCCAUACAACACCGAUGUCGCCGUCCCGUAUUCCCCACCGCUGUCUUGCCAACUGUAGCACGCCGGAUCCUCUUCUUCAGAAGCUGCCGCCUCACGUGCAAUGCCACCACCCAUGGCCCUCCACGGACACCACCAUCACGGGCGUAACUUGGACAACAGACCCCAUGACGGCAGAAGGAAGAGCAAGUGGGGGGUAUCGAGACUGGCCACCAUCGUGAGGAUACCGGCGUCCGUGUGCGUGGUGAUGGCAUGGUGACGCAAGAAGGUCGUGUUCCUGGUGUGCCGCGUGCUCCGUCUCCAUCCACGUCCGCGACCGCAAGACAGGGAGAUGCAUCUGGAAGGAGGCACUGGGGCAACAUCAAGAAGUUCUGUUAAACUGAUUCAUAGCAGCAUCUCAAAGUUCAAUCAGAAGAAGCGCGACAUUGUGGUUUCUAUAGGGUGGGAGGUAUCCUCCAUAUCCCUGAGCCGAACAAGCUAAAUCUAAAGCCGGAUGUGUUCUUGCUUACACAUGUGGACAUAGAUAUAGGAGGGCAAUUGUAAUUGAUGAUGAUAGAACUUGCCCGUUUGAUGCCACGGACGUUGGGAAGGUAUUCGAUCAGGAUCCCUUGGACAGGCGCUCGUGUUGCUAACAAGAAGAAUGACUGCAUUCAGUCAGCAGCCAAGGAGAUCAGAUGAUGUUUAGGGAUUAUAGGGUCAAAAGAAGGAAGAAGUUUGAAAGCAGCUCAAGCAUUACUGGAAAAGAAUUAUAACUCACCGAUGACAGAGAAGGAGGUGCAUGCUUCCAAGGCAACACUUAUUAUUUUCCUUGUGGGAUACAUGAUGGCACCGAUGGCAAAAUAUGAUUAUUCAAGCCUAACAUACUGGCCAAUGCUUAUGGGUCCUGACAAUAUUCAUAAUUACAAGUGGGGUUAAUAUGUCAUGGAAGGCAUACUAGAGGCAGAUGACAAGCUAAAGUGUGAUGUCACAAGGAAGAAAUCCGUGACCAACAUAACCGGGUGUUCUAUUCCUUCAGGUGUUUUAUCUUCAUAGCCUUAACCUGGGUGAAAUAACAAUGCAGCAUGGAAUUCUUUUGAGAAUCAAGGUGUUCAACAACUAGAUUAUGAGGAUCAUGAUCAUUGGUGAUUGCAGCCGAUCUAUCAGCAAUAGAUCAAAAGUUGAUUUUCGGAGCAUCCAUGGUGUACUGAGUGCAGAGUAUAUGAAUUGCCUUUUGCUUGUUGUCUACUAACAUUCAAUUAUAAUCCAAUAGCCAAGAGACACGAAUAGCAGUGUGUGUUCACACAGGGCUGCAAUGCGUGAUGGUGUUGGCCAUUCAGGGCCUGAACCAAAGGACUUCAUACUAAAGCAGUUCCCUCGAUCGUGCAAGAAUGUAAUAAUUCAUUACUAAGGAUCAAGUUAUAGUUAUUGAAAAGUCGUGACUCGCUACUGCUGGGAGAUGCGCCUCCACACAUUCUAGGGGAAAGAGAUUUGGGCAUGACAAGAUGAAGCAGUUCAGGUCCAUGAUUUCUAUUAAACUUUUGCAAGGAACUCGAAUAAUAUGUUCUUAUGGUAAUACAAAAAUAUUAAUAUGUUAUUACAAUGUAUUUUCCAGCAGUCUCAUUGUUCAUUUAUGGAGUAAUACUAAUUGCUGUCAUUUUAUUUUUCAGGAUACCUCUAAUUAUUCUUAAUGUGAUACGUUUCAUUGCAGGGUGAUACGUAUGGAGGAAAAGAACCAGAGCAGCGCUAGCUUGGAUAAAAGUUUCAGUGACAGAAUUUGUUUGGCAUAUGUGGAAAUCUUGGUAAAGGCAAAUCUCAACACACCUGAGCAAUGAGCACAUGUUACCAACCACAACCCACACAGGAUAAAGGCGCAUGCGGCGGCGAGUUUAAUAGGGGCAUAAGAAACGAGAAUGGCGGGUGCGGUGACGGUCAUUCAUGUGUUGGACAAAAUAAUACACCCCAUCUGUGUCAUGAGGCUGGACUUGACAUAGACAUCAGCAAACAUGGAGCAUGGUGUUGAGGUGGGAGUCGGACGCAUGGAUGUACUUGACAAGGAGCAAGUAGACGUGAGCAUGCAUAGUGGGCAAUGCUCCCGAUGGUCAGGCGGAUGAGAAGACCGAAGAGGAAAGCCGCAUGUGCAUAUUUGUGGCGGAAUGGGGCUAGCUUGAGGCAAUUAGAGAGGAGGGAAAGCAGAGGGAGUGCAGUGCCAAGGAAAUGCAGCAGGAAAGGUUGGAAAUAGCGUCGCUCGAGCGGGGAAGGGAAGGAGAGACGACCCGUGCGCAGGGGCGACACUACUGCUAUGCUACGGUUCAUGUUGGUGCCGCUGUUACUACAUUGAGAGAGACUGUCGCACCCGUUUGAUGUCUGAGCAUGCUCGGAAGUAUGAGUGAGAAAUAAGCUUCGGCCUUGGACAUGACCUUAAUCCAGGUCGCCGUCGGGACACCGUUGCCGAGGGCUGCGUGUCCGACACCCUUGAGACGCUCUUUCUUUCCGAGGCCACUACGGGGAGGCCUGUGCGCUUGCGCGUGCUCAUGUACGACCGGCAACUCCCGUGGGCGGGCUGCAUGGCGCGCGCCGCCGGCGUGCUGACGGCCACGCUCUUCUCGCAGCUCUGCUCGGUGGGCGUCAUCUACAGGAAGGUCUAUGCCGGCCGCUUCGACCCGUCGGUCAUGGAAGGGGGCGCGCUGCGGGGCCUGCUGAGUGGUGGAAGUGUCAUCAUUUGUGGCAGCACCGGAGUCAUACCGGUUGUUGCUGGAUGUAGUGGUGGGCCCGUUUGAAGGGUUUGUGGACGCCGCCGACGUCAUAGCAACUCGUUCCAUGAGCUUGAUAUCAAGAAAGUCGAUCUGUUGGGGGCACACAUGGGAACAAUGUGAUAGCUGAAUUAAUUCAAGAUCAUGUAUGUAGGUCUUCUAUAUGUUAUAUGAAAUUUCAUAACCCAUUUUUUCCCUUCAGGCAUCAACACGCGAACAGAGCUAUGAAUUAUUUUGUAUUCAGAUGACAUAAUGAGUGUUGAAUCUCAUAUACUUUGUUAUAAAGAGAUGAAAAUUGGUGCUCUUCUGACCUCUGCUGGAAUCAAUAUUGGUCUUUGUAUACUUUUUCUGUUAUUCUAUUCCAUUUUGAGGAAGAACCCACAAAAUGUUAAGGUCUAUUUUGGGAGAAGGAUUGCUGAACAACAUAAGAGGCUCCGAGGAGCUUUUAUUUUGGAGAUAUUUGUUUCAUCCCACAUAGGAGCAGCUGCUGGAAUAGAAAUAAAUUGCUUCUAUACAUGUAAGGCAUCGUGGGUACUCUUCUUACAGGAAACAUACCUACUUGGUCGCAUACUCGAGUGCAUUUUCUUGGUGGUGUGCUUCUCUUUUUUCUUGUAGUGCUCCAGAAGGUUCAUCAAAGUAGUCCUUUCGUUUGAUGCAUUAGCCUUUUUUUUGGGAUAUGCUAACUUGAUUUUGAUUUCUACAGGUGUAGCUAAGCUAGCACAAAGAAGGGGUGUCCCUAACAUGUUGUUGAUUCCAUUUCUUCUACUAUAUUAUAUGAAUAGUCAGUCUAAUUGCUGAUUCAGAAGUCUUCUAGGGAACAAGAUGCCCAACUCGUUAUCAUGUUGUGUGGGUUAAAACAAAUUUACAACUGAUGGUGGUUAUAAAGCUUGGCCGAAAUUUGUUUGUAAGUGAUGCUCUUCAGGUAACUUUCAAUAGUUGUAAUCCCCUUAAUUUCCAACUAAUUGAAUUGUUACUUAUAUGCAAUAUGAGGUGAAUUAUUCUGGAUCCAUAUAUGUAUUUAUCCCUAAUGAUUGGGCAUCUCUAAUGUAUGCCGGGUACAUUCCCUACAAGAUUGCAUAGCACCUUCGUAACAUUGAGCUAACGAUGCCUCAAGAUGCAUCCCAUGACACCGUAAGAGACACUAGAGGACUGUCAGGGGGAGAGCGAUCUUUUUCGACACUUUGCUUCGCUUUAGCACUUCAUGGGAUGAUAGAAGCACCUUUUAGGGCCAUGGAUGAGUUUGAUGUAUUCAUGGACGCGGUGAGCUGUAAAAUAAGCUUGGACACCCUUGUAGAUUUUGCUGUUGCACAAGGCUCACAAUGGAUAUUUAUAACACCGCAUGAUAUCAGCAUCGUGAAGCCUGGAGAUCACAAAUGGAAAAUCGCCUGUCUGUUACUGUGCUCAGUAGUGUAUAUAUCUCCUUAGCCUUAGCAUCCACGUUUGACAGAACCUGUCGGGAACUGCUCGCCUUGUAUUUAAGUUGUGCAUAGCUUGUUUCCAAAUGUGAACUCAACCAACACCACACGGGCUCAGUGCCCAUACAGCAAGGUAAGGUAUAGAUAGUUUCAUGUUUCUUCAAGGUACAUUAUUUUAUACUCCAUCCUGAGUUAUUUCUAGACGUACUUACGGCAGUUAGUGAUGUUUCCUCACCAUCAGUGACUGUGGCGUGCUCAUUGUAUUAUGGGAGCUUAGAGUCGUUAACAUUAAUUAUUUACAUUAUGGAUAUCAUCUUGAUGAUAAUUGUCAAUACAUACUCUGACCAGUUUGCAAUGUCAAAAUGUUGUAGUUAUAUAUAUUUUAUCCAUAAACUUUUAGUUUCAUGUUUUAGAGUUUUCGUUCUCAAAUUUGUAUGAAUUGGAUUCCAAUGCUCAAAACCUCAGUUUCAUAAGAAACAAUUCAUCAGCUAACAUACUUUUUUUUAAUGUACAGGAUGUUGAUUUCAUCAUAUUUAAAAAGAAGGAAAUGAAUAGGGUGAAGAAAUCUCAUCAUAUAAUCUCCUCUCCAAUUCACACUCAUAUAAGAGAUAAUUAUUCCCUAUGAAGCAAACAAGCGGAGUGAGAGGAUGACGAGGCGUAAAUGGAGGCGGGGUCGGUCCGUCGUUGUGGCAGUCCAGGAGCACCACGGGGUUGCCGGCGACCCGUGUGCCGCAGGCAGCUGUUGGGAACGUCGAGCCACGAGACAACCUGUUGGCGUCGGACCCACAUCAGCGUCCCCAACUCCCCAUUGGCGGCACAUCCAUCCCCGCCACCACGUGCUGCCCUCCACCUCCUGCCCGUCGGUCCAUCAAUUUGAUCUCCUCAACAUAGCCGAUGAGCGAGUGCUGAAGUGUCCACAACGGCACAACCUAGAACGCGCGGCGAGAUCCAGCGACACCGAUGUGGAGGGAGGCGUCACGAGAGAUUGAAGCAAGCCUUGGUGGGGCUUCCCUGUUGCUGCUGCGAGAAGCAGAAGGAGGCGGUGUUACGUAGAAACGAAAUUUGUUUGUUUGCUUGAGUGAAUAUAUAUGUCUAAUGUAUACAAAAAAAUCGGUUAUGUGUUAAAAAUUUGAAGUAUGUGGUUGUUGGUUUAGUUGA
Long non-coding RNA from Triticum aestivum (bread wheat), 5832 nucleotides. RefSeq lists it as uncharacterized. The transcript is spliced from 13 exons. NCBI's taxonomy places the organism in Eukaryota, Viridiplantae, Streptophyta, Magnoliopsida, Poales, Poaceae. The record is from RefSeq and is a predicted model, not a curated record.